Molecule: ribosomal RNA, 199 nt
Filed under: Clostridioides difficile
Lineage: Bacteria; Bacillati; Bacillota; Clostridia; Peptostreptococcales; Peptostreptococcaceae
Description: partial 16S ribosomal RNA
Rfam family: Bacterial small subunit ribosomal RNA
Source: RNAcentral
UCGCAGAUCAGAAUGCUGCGGUGAAUGCGUUCCCGGGUCUUGUACACACCGCCCGUCACACCACGGGAGUUGGAGACGCCCGAAGCCGAUUAUCUAACCUUUUGGAAGAAGUCGUCGAAGGUGGAAUCAAUAACUGGGGUGAAGUCGUAACAAGGUAGCCGUAUCGGAAGGUGCGGCUGGAUCACCUCCUUUCUAAGGA